RNAcentral lists this ribosomal RNA (427 nucleotides) under Centrocolumna evidens. RNAcentral's name for it is "Symploce evidens partial 16S ribosomal RNA". It matches the Rfam family "Archaeal large subunit ribosomal RNA", at positions 1918 to 2592 of the family's 2987-position model. The record is from RNAcentral. Lineage: Eukaryota; Metazoa; Arthropoda; Insecta; Blattodea; Blattellidae.
CUCUUUCCGUUGUAUUUGGAAAGUAUAACCUGCCCACUGACUUAAGUUGAAGGGCCGCGGUAAUUUGACCGUGCAAAGGUAGCAUAAUCAUUAGUCUUUUAAUUGGAGGCUGGAAUGAAUGGUUGGACGAGACAUAUACUGUCUUAUUAUUUAUAUUAGAAUUUAAUUAUUAAGUAAGAAAGCUUAAAUUUAUUUAUGGGACGAGAAGACCCUAUAGAGUUUAAUAAUUUAUUUUAUUUGUGGUAUGUUAUUAUUUUUUAAGUUAAAUUAUUUUAUUGGGGUGAUGGGAAGAUAAGAUAAACUCUUUUUGUUUUUGAAUAUUUAUUUAUAUAUAUUUGAUCCAGAAUUUUUGAUUAAAAGGCUAAAUUACCUUAGGGAUAACAGCGUAAUCUUCUUUGAGAGUUCUAAUCGACAAGGGGGAUUGCGA